GCAGGGCUGGCUUGACGGUUAAGGCUCUGGGUUACUGACCAGAAGGUCGGGGGUUCAAGCCCCAGCGCUGCC
This is a non-coding RNA of Ameiurus melas (black bullhead), 72 nucleotides long. The record is from the annotation of a GenBank genome assembly. NCBI's taxonomy places the organism in Eukaryota, Metazoa, Chordata, Actinopteri, Siluriformes, Ictaluridae.